RNAcentral lists this ribosomal RNA (253 nucleotides) under uncultured bacterium. RNAcentral's name for it is "partial 16S ribosomal RNA". It matches the Rfam family "Bacterial small subunit ribosomal RNA", at positions 524 to 776 of the family's 1533-position model. The record is from RNAcentral.
UACGGGGGGGGCAAGCGUUGUUCGGAAUUACUGGGCGUAAAGGGUUUGUAGGUGGCUUGUUAAGUCAGACGUGAAAUCCCUCAGCCUAACUGGGGAACUGCGUCUGAUACUGGCGAGCUUGAGUGCAGGAGAGGAACGCGGAAUUCCAGGUGUAGCGGUGAAAUGCGUAGAUAUCUGGAGGAACACCGGUGGCGAAGGCGGCGUUCUGGACUGCAACUGACACUGAGAAACGAAAGCCAGGGUAGCAAACGGG